UUUGUUGAGCCACAUUAGUGGCUGGUCGAGGACAGGUUCCAUCUAUAAAACCAAUUUUAUUUUUGGCAGUCAAAGCAACAACCAUUUUUCUCCUCCAUCCCCCAUAACCAUCACCCGAGAAGGGGGUGGGGACAAGAGAUACCCCGGGAACAUCGGAGGAGUAUAGAAAUAGAGGACUGCUAGAGUCCAAAAGACCAGUAUUGGUAUUGACAGCCAUGACACAUCAACAAAGAAAAUAGGUUCAACAACCAGAGUGUAACAAAUCAAGUAACUACACACAAAGCCAACUACCCAGAUACAAAACCAAUUCUGUACACACAAAUCAGGUAAUAUUGAAUUUUAAGACAAAGUUACCAUCCUUCUUCGCUACCGGAAAAAGACCGGCCUUCAAAUGAUAGUGAAAACCCUAGGUAUGAAACCCUAGGUUCAGACGUCGAAUCGGUCACCAGAAAUAUGAGAAACGAUAUCGGAAAGGUACCCAAACAUCCACGAGAUGAGAAUCGGACCACCGGAAGACGGUAAAACAGCAAGUCAAAACCACCGAAAACCCCAGAUACCGAUGACUCACCAAAAAUCAACCAAAACCGACAGAGGUUCUUAAAAUGUUGAGGUCACGAAGAUACAACCGGAUAUCAUGAUGUAAAACACUCUGAACCAUGUCCGAUCAAAGUCGGAAUCAUCAUCGGCCAUUCUAUCUCAGAUAAAACCUCAAAAACCGCCAAACAAAUAUUCAAAAAAGACACCGGCAUGCAAAUGAACAUGAUCGGAUCGUUGUAAGGCUCUGAUACCAUGUCAAUAUU
RNAcentral lists this long non-coding RNA (800 nucleotides) under Nicotiana benthamiana. RNAcentral's name for it is "long non-coding RNA (NBEN_LNC023639)". The record is from RNAcentral. Lineage: Eukaryota; Viridiplantae; Streptophyta; Magnoliopsida; Solanales; Solanaceae.